This 607-nucleotide ribosomal RNA is filed under the name Agaricaceae sp. PA375. Its description in RNAcentral is "eukaryotic LSU rRNA". It matches the Rfam family "Eukaryotic large subunit ribosomal RNA", at positions 52 to 642 of the family's 3401-position model. The record is from RNAcentral. Lineage: Eukaryota; Fungi; Basidiomycota; Agaricomycetes; Agaricales; Agaricaceae.
GGAGGAAAAGAACUAACAAGGAUUCCCCUAGUAACUGCGAGUGAAGCGGGAAAAGCUCAAAUUUAAAAUCUGAUGGUCUUUGGCUGUCCGAGUUGUAAUCUAGAGAAGUGAUGCCCGCGCUGGACCGUGUACAAGUCUCCUGGGAUGGAGCGUCAUAGAGGGUGAGAAUCCCGUCUCUGACACGGACUACCAGGGCUUUGUGGUACGCUCUCAAAGAGUCGAGUUGUUUGGGAAUGCAGCUCAAAAUGGGUGGUAAAUUCCAUCUAAAGCUAAAUAUUGGCGAGAGACCGAUAGCGAACAAGUACCGUGAGGGAAAGAUGAAAAGAACUUUGGAAAGAGAGUUAAACAGUACGUGAAAUUGCUGAAAGGGAAACGCUUGAAGUCAGUCACGUUGGCUGGGGAUCAGCUUCGCUCUUUUGCGUGGUGUAUUUCCUGGUUGACGGGUCAGCAUCAAUUUUGACCGCUGGAAAAAGGCUUGAGGAAUGUGGCAGCUCCGGCUGUGUUAUAGCUUCUUGUCAUAUACAGUGGUUGGGAUUGAGGAACUCAGCACGCCGCAAGGCCGGGUUUCGACCACGUUCGUGCUUAGGAUGCUGGCAUAAUGGCUUUA